RNAcentral lists this ribosomal RNA (1313 nucleotides) under Enterococcus durans. RNAcentral's name for it is "bacterial SSU rRNA". It matches the Rfam family "Bacterial small subunit ribosomal RNA", at positions 59 to 1345 of the family's 1533-position model. The record is from RNAcentral. Lineage: Bacteria; Bacillati; Bacillota; Bacilli; Lactobacillales; Enterococcaceae.
AAGUCGUACGCUUCUUUUUCACCGGAGCUUGCUCCACCGGAAAAAGAAGAGUGGCGAACGGGUGAGUAACACGUGGGUAACCUGCCCAUCAGAAGGGGAUAACACUUGGAAACAGGUGCUAAUACCGUAUAACAAUCGAAACCGCAUGGUUUUGAUUUGAAAGGCGCUUUCGGGUGUCGCUGAUGGAUGGACCCGCGGUGCAUUAGCUAGUUGGUGAGGUAACGGCUCACCAAGGCCACGAUGCAUAGCCGACCUGAGAGGGUGAUCGGCCACAUUGGGACUGAGACACGGCCCAAACUCCUACGGGAGGCAGCAGUAGGGAAUCUUCGGCAAUGGACGAAAGUCUGACCGAGCAACGCCGCGUGAGUGAAGAAGGUUUUCGGAUCGUAAAACUCUGUUGUUAGAGAAGAACAAGGAUGAGAGUAACUGUUCAUCCCUUGACGGUAUCUAACCAGAAAGCCACGGCUAACUACGUGCCAGCAGCCGCGGUAAUACGUAGGUGGCAAGCGUUGUCCGGAUUUAUUGGGCGUAAAGCGAGCGCAGGCGGUUUCUUAAGUCUGAUGUGAAAGCCCCCGGCUCAACCGGGGAGGGUCAUUGGAAACUGGGAGACUUGAGUGCAGAAGAGGAGAGUGGAAUUCCAUGUGUAGCGGUGAAAUGCGUAGAUAUAUGGAGGAACACCAGUGGCGAAGGCGGCUCUCUGGUCUGUAACUGACGCUGAGGCUCGAAAGCGUGGGGAGCAAACAGGAUUAGAUACCCUGGUAGUCCACGCCGUAAACGAUGAGUGCUAAGUGUUGGAGGGUUUCCGCCCUUCAGUGCUGCAGCUAACGCAUUAAGCACUCCGCCUGGGGAGUACGACCGCAAGGUUGAAACUCAAAGGAAUUGACGGGGGCCCGCACAAGCGGUGGAGCAUGUGGUUUAAUUCGAAGCAACGCGAAGAACCUUACCAGGUCUUGACAUCCUUUGACCACUCUAGAGAUAGAGCUUCCCCUUCGGGGGCAAAGUGACAGGUGGUGCAUGGUUGUCGUCAGCUCGUGUCGUGAGAUGUUGGGUUAAGUCCCGCAACGAGCGCAACCCUUAUUGUUAGUUGCCAUCAUUUAGUUGGGCACUCUAGCAAGACUGCCGGUGACAAACCGGAGGAAGGUGGGGAUGACGUCAAAUCAUCAUGCCCCUUAUGACCUGGGCUACACACGUGCUACAAUGGGAAGUACAACGAGUCGCGAAGUCGCGAGGCUAAGCUAAUCUCUUAAAGCUUCUCUCAGUUCGGAUUGUAGGCUGCAACUCGCCUACAUGAAGCCGGAAUCGCUAGUAAUCGC